This 197-nucleotide microRNA precursor is filed under the name Marmota monax (woodchuck). Lineage: Eukaryota; Metazoa; Chordata; Mammalia; Rodentia; Sciuridae. The record is from RNAcentral.
GAACAGAGAGAGAGAGAGAGAGAGAGAGAGAGAGAGAGAAGGAAUUCCGUAGCAGAUUGCCCUUGGGCUUGAACAGCAACUGACAGCUCUUCCCUGGGUCUCCAGUCUGGACUACCCUGAAGAUUUUGAACUUGAUCCUUAAGACAUUUCUCUCUCUCUCUCUCUCUCUCUCUCUCUCUCUCUUUCAACCCCAUUUC